RNAcentral lists this ribosomal RNA (497 nucleotides) under uncultured bacterium. RNAcentral's name for it is "partial 16S ribosomal RNA". It matches the Rfam family "Bacterial small subunit ribosomal RNA", at positions 28 to 507 of the family's 1533-position model. The record is from RNAcentral.
GAUGAACGCUGGCGGCGUGCCUAAUACAUGCCAGUCGAGCGAACGGACGAGAAGCUUGCUUCUCUGAUGUUAGCGGCGGACGGGUGAGUAACACGUGGAUAACCUACCUAUAAGACUGGGAUAACUUCGGGAAACCGGAGCUAAUACCGGAUAAUAUUUUGAACCGCAUGGUUCAAAAGUGAAAGACGGUCUUGCUGUCACUUAUAGAUGGAUCCGCGCUGCAUUAGCUAGUUGGUAAGGUAACGGCUUACCAAGGCAACGAUGCAUAGCCGACCUGAGAGGGUGAUCGGCCACACUGGAACUGAGACACGGUCCAGACGCCUACGGGAGGCAGCAGUAGGGAAUCUUCCGCAAUGGGCGAAAGCCUGACGGAGCAACGCCGCGUGAGUGAUGAAGGUCUUCGGAUCGUAAAACUCUGUUAUUAGGGAAGAACAUAUGUGUAAGUAACUGUGCACAUCUUGACGGUACCUAAUCAGAAAGCCACGGCUAACUACGUG